GGAAUGCGCUGAUUUUAAUAACCAGCCCUUCUAAAAUCUAUUUCAUGACUGUCACCUAACACAGCAGUUUGGCCUAAUAGUUUUGACAUUGAUUUGUCAAAUCUUUGGCUUACAUUUGCUUCAGGUUGUCAGUUUUGAUAAUACAGAAAACUCAUUCAAAUUUUGAUCUGAAAUCAGGUAGGGCUACCCGCUGAACUUAA
This 200-nucleotide unclassified non-coding RNA is filed under the name soil metagenome. Its description in RNAcentral is "partial contains internal transcribed spacer 2 and large subunit ribosomal RNA". The record is from RNAcentral.